This 490-nucleotide ribosomal RNA is filed under the name uncultured bacterium. RNAcentral describes it as "partial 16S ribosomal RNA". It matches the Rfam family "Bacterial small subunit ribosomal RNA", at positions 29 to 505 of the family's 1533-position model. The record is from RNAcentral.
AGUGAACGCUGGCGGUAGGCCUAACACAUGCAAGUCGAACGGCAGCACAGUAAGAGCUUGCUCUUACGGGUGGCGAGUGGCGGACGGGUGAGGAAUACAUCGGAAUCUACUUUUUCGUGGGGGAUAACGUAGGGAAACUUACGCUAAUACCGCAUACGACCUACGGGUUAAAGCAGGGGAUCUUCGGACCUUGCGCGAUUGAAUGAGCCGAUGUCGGAUUAGCUAGUUGGCGGGGUAAAGGCCCACCAAGGCGACGAUCCGUAGCUGGUCUGAGAGGAUGAUCAGCCACACUGGAACUGAGACACGGUCCAGACUCCUACGGGAGGCAGCAGUGGGGAAUAUUGGACUAUGGGCGCAAGCCUGAUCCAGCCAUACCGCGUGGGUGAAGAAGGCCUUCGGGUUGGAAAGCUCUUUUGUUGGGAAAGAAAAGCAGCAGGUUAAUACCCCGCUGUCCUGACGGUACCCAAAGAAUAAGCACCGGCUAACUUCG